GUCAAAUCUCCCCAUGGUGAUGAGCUCAGAUCCAGCAGAGUCAAGCCAAUAUUCAUUUGUUUUCAAGCAACUUUUCUCUCCUGAUCACCCGGAAAAUCCUUCCAGAAUUACCAAUAAUCAUCUCAACAAAAAGUUGAAGAGAGCCAGCAGUAAAAAGAGAAAACAAUAGCUAAAAGAAGAAUCAAGAACAAAGCAAAAGGACUUUGUGAGGAAGGAAAGAAGCUUCCAGGGCUUCAGCAGAAGAAACAAGACCAAGUGGAGCAAAUGCAGUGAAAUCAGGACAUGAGAUCUUUUCAAACUACUUGUAGAGGGUGUUCUCUUUUCCUUCAUGCAUAGGUCAGCACAAACAACACACCCUAUUUCAAGGAGGACCUCUGUUGGCUUGUUAUUGUCAUAUGUCCCUGGAGAGAGAAGGGUAUGGACAGUCAUCUUCUCCAUCUUAGGAUACAGAGUGAAAACACAUACCAAGAUAAUGCCUCUGAAUAUUCCUUCUCUACCCCAGUCACAUGAUAUUCAGAUCAGAAAACACUGAUCCCUGCCUGAUAAGCUAGCCUGGUAUCUUCAUCUCCAGAUAAAGCCCAUUACAAGUGCUUUGGCCUUCAGGUCUCUACCCCUUUCCUCCGAUCAUGGAUGCUCUUGCAGCACCUACCAGCCACUGCCACCUGAAAUGAGCAAAAGAUAAACAUAUCCAUGAAUAAGAACAUCUAUAGCAAAUGCUACAAACAACAGCCAGCAUGUAGCGGCUGAGGACAACACUUAGG
Heterocephalus glaber (naked mole-rat) is the source of this 761-nucleotide non-coding RNA. NCBI's taxonomy places the organism in Eukaryota, Metazoa, Chordata, Mammalia, Rodentia, Bathyergidae. The record is from RefSeq and is a predicted model, not a curated record.